ACGGCAUGAUGGGGGCAUUUUCUGAUGAAAUCCUUUAAUCUUUCUUAUGACUCAUGGAAUUGCUCACCAUCUUGCUGCGAAAAGUUUGUGAGAGCUCGCCUUCUCU
Small nucleolar RNA from Cephalotus follicularis, 106 nucleotides. It matches the Rfam family "Plant small nucleolar RNA R71". From Rfam's summary of the family: R71 is a member of the C/D box family of snoRNAs containing the C (UGAUGA) and D (CUGA) box motifs. Multiple nearly identical copies of this snoRNA have been identified in Arabidopsis, and it is thought to function as a 2'-O-ribose methylation guide for 18S ribosomal RNA. Lineage: Eukaryota; Viridiplantae; Streptophyta; Magnoliopsida; Oxalidales; Cephalotaceae. The record is from Rfam.